AUACGAAGGGAGCUAGCGUUGUUCGGAAUUACUGGGCGUAAAGCGCACGUAGGCGGACUAUUUAGUCAGGGGUGAAAUCCCGGGGCUCAACCCCGGAACUGCCCUUGAUACUGGUAGUCUAGAGUUCGAGAGAGGUGAGUGGAAUUCCGAGUGUAGAGGUGAAAUUCGUAGAUAUUCGGAGGAACACCAGUGGCGAAGGCGGCUCACUGGCUCGAUACUGACGCUGAGGCGCGAAAGCGUGGGGAGCAAACAGGAUUAGAAACCCCUGUAGUCC
RNAcentral lists this ribosomal RNA (274 nucleotides) under uncultured bacterium. Its description in RNAcentral is "partial 16S ribosomal RNA". It matches the Rfam family "Bacterial small subunit ribosomal RNA", at positions 523 to 796 of the family's 1533-position model. The record is from RNAcentral.